CCUACGGGUGGCAGCAGUGAGGAAUAUUGGUCAAUGGGCGCGAGCCUGAACCAGCCAAGUAGCGUGAAGGAUGACUGCCCUACGGGGUGUAAACUUCUUUUAUAAAGGAAUAAAAUGAGGCACGUGUGCCUUUUUGUAUUUACUUUAUGAAUAAGGAUCGGCUAACUCCGUGCCAGCAGCCGCGGUAAUACGGAGGAUCCGAGCGUUAUCCGGAUUUAUUGGGUUUAAAGGGUGCGUAGGCGGAUUGAUAAGUGAGAGGUGAAAUGUCCGAGCUUAACUCUGGAACUGCCUCUAAUACUGUUGGUCUAGAGAGCAGGUGAGGUAGGCGGAAUGUAUGGUGUAGCGGUGAAAUGCUUAGAGAGC
Molecule: ribosomal RNA, 363 nt
Filed under: uncultured bacterium
Lineage: Bacteria
Description: partial 16S ribosomal RNA
Rfam family: Bacterial small subunit ribosomal RNA
Source: RNAcentral